Molecule: long non-coding RNA, 1149 nt
Organism: Stomoxys calcitrans (stable fly)
Lineage: Eukaryota; Metazoa; Arthropoda; Insecta; Diptera; Muscidae
Exons: 3
Source: RefSeq, a predicted model, not a curated record
AUGGCCAUAAAAAGAAAUGACAAAAGAAGAAAAGAUACACAGAACGAUACCACAACAACCGCUAAAUAAAUGAAAAUAAUUUAUUCCUUCAAAGUGAUCGUCACAAAGCCAAUUAUUUUUACGUAGCCUGUAGAGUAAAAAUAAUUGGGAAAGGUCUGUACAUAUCAUCCAGCAAAUACAUGUCAAUCGAAGCUGUCGUUUGCCAUUGUUGCAUGCCUUUCCAAGCAACCAAAUACCUGACAGAAAAAUAAACAAAACAUAUGGAAACAAAAGAGAAAUAUGUCAAAUAUGCAAAAUUAAGGCAAUUUUCAAGAACAUACUACAAUAUAAGAGUUUGUUGCGGUUGACGUUGUAAAACAUAUGUAAGUAGAUGCUGAAAUAUAAUAUUUGUUUUGGUCGUAGAUGCUUCUUUGCCUGUACAUCGCCUAUUGGUAAUCGAAUGUGUGUGCAAUAAAUGUCCAAUUUUGUCUGCUUAUGAUGUUUAUGGCCGUCCACCGAAAUAAUCUAACAUAAAUCUAAUAAGAUGCCUGCUAUCUGUGACCAUAUAAAAAGACAUGUGUGUAUGUUGUGCUGUGUGGGUAAUAAAUACUUGGAUGGAAUAUGAAAAAGGGACUCAAUGGAUGUGCAUAUCGUUGCCGGCGCAGGUAAACAUUUGUGAUGACACCUUCGGCAUGUUUUCCUAUCUUCCACAUAAAUAUCGCCAAUAAUGAAUGCUGAAUAAAAGAAGAACAGUCAUCCAUAUGUAUCCAUUUAUGAAAGAUAAGUCAAUUUGUAAAUUUCGUCUUGUAUACCAAAUACUAAUUAUUUUCUUUAAUUACAGGUAUCUUUUCAAUGUAUCAAAUUUUACUAAAGUCGUUUCUCUUUCUCUACUAUAGGUAUUUUAUGGACUACUGGUACAAUAACAACAAAGAAUGUGAUUCGCUCAAAGGCCACUAUAUGACCCAAUGACUCGAUGAUGGAAUACCGAUAUGAUAUGUGAUACAGGUAUUUUCUAAACAAGGCUGAAAUUUCGUAACUGGUCUGGUCAGAAUUUGGCAAUUCCGAAAUCCGAAUACAAUCUCUACAAUAUUUCGCGAUAAUAUUUUUAAAUUUUCUAAAUUUAUAUAGAAUUUAAAUAUCAUAGAAAAAUUAGGUAAAUAAUUUUAUAUA